GUAAAGUUAGUUUAAAAUAAAAUAACAGAUUGUGGGUUUGUAGAUAAAAUAAUAAGUUUACUUUAUU
RNAcentral lists this transfer RNA (67 nucleotides) under Spirula spirula. RNAcentral's name for it is "tRNA-His". The record is from RNAcentral. Lineage: Eukaryota; Metazoa; Mollusca; Cephalopoda; Spirulida; Spirulidae.